AAUAAAUAUAAUUUUAUAUUGUUUGGGUUGAAUGUUUGACCGUUCGUCUUAUUUGAAAUUCAUAAAUAAUACUUUAUGUAUGACUAUUUUUAUUUUUUUUCAAAUAAGACGAAUGGAUAAAUGUUAGACACGGAUACUCAUGGCUGUACUUAUU
RNAcentral lists this microRNA precursor (154 nucleotides) under Oryza glumipatula. Its description in RNAcentral is "MIR812 microRNA precursor family". It matches the Rfam family "MIR812 microRNA precursor family". Lineage: Eukaryota; Viridiplantae; Streptophyta; Magnoliopsida; Poales; Poaceae. The record is from Rfam by way of RNAcentral.